Molecule: ribosomal RNA, 324 nt
Filed under: Podarcis cretensis
Lineage: Eukaryota; Metazoa; Chordata; Lepidosauria; Squamata; Lacertidae
Description: partial large subunit ribosomal RNA
Rfam family: Bacterial large subunit ribosomal RNA
Source: RNAcentral
UUACGGACUAGCCAAUGAAAUUGAUCCUUCAGUACAAAAGCUGGAAUUAACCCAUAAGACGAGAAGACCCUGUGGAGCUUCAAAACCAAAAUCACUAAACAUGCCUCCUGGUUUUUUAGUUGGGGCGACUUUGGAGCAAAAAAAAUCCUCCAAAACAUAAAGUCAUUUAUUAAGAAAAACACACCAAAAAUAAUAUUAUAGACCCAGCAGUACUAGUUUACUGUCUGAUCAAUGAACCAAGUUACCCCAGGGAUAACAGCGCCAUCCUCUUCUAGAGUCCUUAUCGACAAGAGGGUUUACGACCUCGAUGUUGGAUCAGGACAC